Rosa rugosa (rugosa rose) is the source of this 2906-nucleotide long non-coding RNA. RefSeq lists it as uncharacterized. The record is from RefSeq and is a predicted model, not a curated record. The transcript is spliced from 4 exons. NCBI's taxonomy places the organism in Eukaryota, Viridiplantae, Streptophyta, Magnoliopsida, Rosales, Rosaceae.
AGCAUUGAGCGCUCGAAUGAAAUCACUUAAUACAAGGAAUUGCAAAAUUCUUUGCUUUUUAUGCACAAAUAUUGCAAGGACACAAGAUAUUCCUUGUAUGUGAAUAAAUACAAGGAGCUAAAUCCUUGCUUCUCGUGUUGAUGUCAAGAAGAAAAGUGAAAAGCAGAAGCUUCCUCUCACACACUCCAAAGACCAGAUCCACUGAGGGCUCUCGAUAAUCUCUCAGAAUCUGAGAGCAAACCUUUUCGAAAAUCACCAAUUCUCUGUCUACCUUUCUUCAUCUUAUCCAUCCCUGAUGAAGUUCACAUGAUGGUUCGUGUAUUCAGGAAGAUGAAGGCAAGGAUUUUAGAAAAGGUGUGCUUUUCUGUUGAUUUUAUUGUCUGGGCGGGUUCAUUUCAAUAUCCACAAACUGGUUUUAGGGUUCUGGUGCUAACUCAUUUUUUGUCUUUCUAUGGCAUAACAUACAUUCCUUUUGUUCCCAAUUCAUUCUAUUGUAUUUUUUUUUUUUUGACUAAAAGAUGCUGGACUUUCAUUGAUAAUUAGGCAGCAUGAUUAAGAUCAUACUGAAUUACAUCAUGUAAGCAUUCUGGAGGUUGGUGAAUCCACACCUCAUGCUGAUUUGCCUCAAAAGCUAAGGCAGCAAGUCUGUGCGCUGCAUUAUUACAAACUCUCGAGGCAUGCUAGAUUUGCAAACCCGAAAUGCUAGCCAUUAAGACUACAAUAUCAUCUAACAGAGCUCCAUGCUCAUCCAGUUCAUGAUCUGCACUUAGAAUCUGUUGUACUGCUUCUAGACAGUCACUCUCAAUGGUGACAUUCUGCAGUUGCAUAGAUUUAGCCAAGUCCAAACCCUGUCGGAUAGCACAUAACUCUGCAUGUUUCGCUGAUCCAAUGUGUUGCAUAGUGUGUGCGAAUGCAGCAACAAAGUGCCCUUGUGAGUUUCAGAGUAUACCUCCUACGCCUCCCCUUGUCAUUUCAGGCAUAAACGCCCCAUCAACAUUCAGCUUUGAUCUGUCCCCGAGCUCUGGUUUCCAGUGCCGCAUUGCUUCUUUGACAGUUCCUUUUGUUUCACUGCGAGCUAAUUGGAACUCUUCCAACAAGGCCAUGGCAUGUAACAAAAUACUUGGGGCAGUCUGAGAAAUGUUCUCCCAAAGUCUACUAUUUCGAUUCUUCCAUAAACCCCACAGAAUCAUCAUCAGUUUCUCAAACACUUCCAUCUUAAGUGUCAAGGCACACUCAAGAAGCCACUCUUUGAAAUCAAUAGAAGGCAAUAAAGUAUGCUGAAGAUGGAAAGGAGGAGCAGACAAUAAUUCAACCGCAAGCGGACAUUUACAAAAAAGAUGUGAUGUAUCUUCUAACCUGUGAGUGCAUAGCAAGCAAUUCACUUCACCACUAUACCCUUUAGUAAGCAAGCGCUCCCUAGCAGGCAGUAAAUUAUUUGCAGCCCUCCACACACAAGUUUGGACUUUGCCAGGGACCUUUGCGUUCCAUAUUCCUUUCCAUAAAGCUUGAAAGGGGUCACCAUCUGAAGUGGCAGCUAACAAUGGGAAAAUAACCCAAUCCUGAUCACUUUGAACUUACUAGAAACAACUGCAUAAGAACAAACUUUAAUCAAUCUCAACACUUGUAAUUUAUCAGGAAAAAUAAUAUUAUGAUAGGAGGGAUAAUAUUGCUGUGUUGGUACCUUUAGGUGUCCUUACAAGAUUAGAGAAAUUUUGUUUUUCGCUUUGUUGAUAUGAAUUAGAGUUUACAUAAUGUCUUUGUUUUAUUUAUUGUUAUUUUUUAUUUUUACGAAUUUCUCAGGCUUGCAAUCCACAAUUGAGUUAAAGAUCAUUCAGCUACCUCAUCACUGAUCUUCAGUUGCUUUGUUUUGAAAGGUAUUCGAUAUCUUUUUUACAUUUGUUUAUGCCAAACUCAUAUCUUCAUAUGUGCUUUAUUGUCCGACACUUACAGGAAAGACCAAAGGUUUUUUUUUACCCAUUAAGACCAGUACAAUCCUCAAAUAAUUUAUGUGAAGUCAUUAAGUUGAGCUGGAUCAAUAUGUCACUAUGGAUGGUCUGAUAUUGAUGAAGAGCUUGAUAAAAGGGAAUUGAGGAUUUGCGGGUGAUAUUUAUACUAAAUGAGGUUCAUGCUAACUAGAUUUUAGAAGAUCUGUUGUGAGGUGUUCUUUGUGGUGGACUUGACUGAUCCAGUUGUUGUUGCAUAUGCGGAUUCCAAAAUGUCUACUGCUUACUCUCAGUUCAAGACUCGACUGAAGGAGGAGUGGAUGACAACAUACCCAUAAAGCCAGUGCACGACCAUAUGCACAACAUGCUUUGGUGGCCUCUAAGGAGAAGAGGGAGGCAGAGAGGAAUGCCCUUAUAAAGGAGUUGUACCAAUACGUAUCUGAGGGUACUCCACAUGAUUCUAUCAAACUGACUUUGGAAGCUAAGUUCCCAAUAUAGUAUGAAGGAACAAAAUGGACACUUGAAGGCUCAAGUGGAAAGUUUGUUGAGGCAAUAUCCUAGGCAAAUGAGUGAAGAUGACUUCCUCCACCCCAACAGCAGCUUCUAAGACUUGCUUGAGAAUUUUGGGUGAGCAUUUGCUAGGCUUUUGGUCUGAUAUCCCUUUUUGUGCAGUAAUAGCUUUUUACCUUGAUUAUCCUACUAUCCAGCAAUACUCAAGAAAAUCCGUUGUCCAUUUUGAGAAUACAGAUUGACACAUUACUGGCAUGUACAUUGAAACUUUCGGUGGAUUUACUUGAGUUUUGACAUUCUGCCUCACUCGAACAGAUGGGACAUCUAAAUUAAUCUUAUUAUCGAUUAGUGGCUGUGAAGCUUUAACUUUUGAUGUACAAAUGAACAAGUUGAUUAUAUAUGAAGCACAUAUUUUUAUCUAAACUUGUUAUAGAUUAGUGUUAGUGGCGUGGC